AUCAUAUUUAACAGUAUCCUUUAGUCCGGGCUGUGUCCCUCUGUGGUUUGUAGGGGAUCGCCCUUUGAGCGGGUAGCUUUGCCGUGUUUUUUUUUCCGCCCCCGGCACGGGCUGUGAAGAGGGCGCAACCACAGCGGGCUCGCCGGAGGCGGCGACCGUUUAAACACGGCUCCCGGCAAGAGGCAGACAUCUGCGUGCAGAGACGGCCGCGGUGCACGCUUGCAUCCCGGGACCACUUCACCUGCUCCACAUAGGGAUGCACGAUGACUCCGUGAACGGUAGAAGGCAGACAGAAGGCAAGAUCCCUGGCAUUUCACUCUGAUUCUUGGAAGUCCUAAGGAAUUACGAUUCUUCACAGCACAAAAAUAUCAAUAAAGAAAACAUCAAAGAUCCUAGAGGUCAAUACAAAAUGUUACACCUGGA
This is a long non-coding RNA of Felis catus (domestic cat), 423 nucleotides long. RefSeq lists it as uncharacterized. The transcript is spliced from 2 exons. The record is from RefSeq and is a predicted model, not a curated record. Lineage: Eukaryota; Metazoa; Chordata; Mammalia; Carnivora; Felidae.